RNAcentral lists this ribosomal RNA (429 nucleotides) under bacterium. Its description in RNAcentral is "partial 16S ribosomal RNA". It matches the Rfam family "Bacterial small subunit ribosomal RNA", at positions 355 to 776 of the family's 1533-position model. The record is from RNAcentral.
UAGGGAAUCUUCCACAAUGGACGCAAGUCUGAUGGAGCAACGCCGCGUGAGUGAAGAAGGUUUUCGGAUCGUAAAGCUCUGUUGUUGGUGAAGAAGGAUAGAGGCAGUAACUGGUCUUUAUUUGACGGUAAUCAACCAGAAAGUCACGGCUAACUACGUGCCAGCAGCCGCGGUAAUACGUAGGUGGCAAGCGUUGUCCGGAUUUAUUGGGCGUAAAGCGAGCGCAGGCGGAAUGAUAAGUCUGAUGUGAAAGCCCACGGCUCAACCGUGGAACUGCAUCGGAAACUGUCAUUCUUGAGUGCAGAAGAGGAGAGUGGAAUUCCAUGUGUAGCGGUGGAAUGCGUAGAUAUAUGGAAUAACACCAGUGGCGAAGGCGGCUCUCUGGUCUGCAACUGACGCUGAGGCUCGAAAGCAUGGGUAGCGAACAGG